ACUCCUACGGGAGGCAGCAGUGGGGAAUAUUGCACAAUGGGGGAAACCCCGAUGCAGCCAUGCCGCGUGUGUGAAGAAGGCCUUCGGUUGUAAAGCACUUCUAGUUGUGAGGAAGGUGGUGUCGUUAAUAGCGGCAUCAUUUGACGUUAGCAACAGAAGAAGCACCGGCUAACUCCGUGCCAGCAGCCGCGGUAAUACGGAGGGUGCGAGCGUUAAUCGGAAUUACUGGGCGUAAAGCGCAUGCAGGUGGUUUGUUAAGUCAGAUGUGAAAGCCCGGGGCUCAACCUCGGAACUGCAUUUGAAACUGGCAGACUAGAGUACUGUAGAGGGGGGUAGAAUUUCAGGUGUAGCGGUGAAAUGCGUAGAGAUCUGAAGGAAUACCGGUGGCGAAGGCGGCCCCCUGGACAGAUACUGACACUCAGAUGCGAAAGCGUGGGGAGCAAACAGGAUUAGAUACCCUGGUAGCACA
This 469-nucleotide ribosomal RNA is filed under the name uncultured bacterium. RNAcentral describes it as "bacterial SSU rRNA". It matches the Rfam family "Bacterial small subunit ribosomal RNA", at positions 335 to 797 of the family's 1533-position model. The record is from RNAcentral.